GUUUCUGUAGCGUAAUGGAUAGCACGUUGGGCUUCUAAUCCAAAGGUCGUGGGUUCAAACCCCACCAGGAAUG
Molecule: non-coding RNA, 73 nt
Organism: Trichonephila clavata
Lineage: Eukaryota; Metazoa; Arthropoda; Arachnida; Araneae; Nephilidae
Source: the annotation of a GenBank genome assembly